GGCGUGCCCGGCGUGCUGUGCGUCCCCUCCGGAAGGACUGGGCGUGCCCGGCGUGCUGUGCGUCUCCUCCGGAAGGACUGGGCGUGCCCGGCGUGCUGUGCGUCCCCUCCGGAAGGACUGGGCGUGCCCGGCGUGCUGUGCGUCUCCUCUGGAAGGACUGGGCGUGCCCGGCGUGCUGUGCGUCCCCUCCGGAAGGACUGGGCAUGCAGUCUGUAGAGUCCGUCCACACGAAGAAGACUCCCAUCCACACCUUCCAGGUGGACCACCUGCUACAUGGAGUUAGAAGCCAGGAAUCACGUGACUGCCCGCCCAAUCGUGACCCAUCACAGGCUCUGUGCACAAGACCCUGCACUUGAUGGAUCAGCUGGCACCACCCAGACCUGCAAACUGGCUCAUCCGUUGUGGCCCCCACCCAGGAACUGACUCUGCACGAGAAAACAGCUUCGGAUCCCUAUGAUUUCAUCUCUGACCAAACCAAUCAGCACUCUCAACUCACUGGCCUUCCCCGCCCACCAAAUUAUCCUUUACAACUCUGAUCCCCGAAUCCAGAUCAGGGAAUCUGAUCUGAGUCAUAAUAAAACUCCAGUUUCCCACACAGCUGGCUGUGCAUGAACUACUCUUUCUCUAUUGCAAUUUCCCUGUCUUGAUAAAUUGGCUGAGUCCAGGCAACCGGCAAGGUGAACCCACUGGGCGGCUACAUUACCACGGCUCAAGGCGUUGUGCUUGGAGCCUACGUCCAUGGAAGAGGAGGACUCCGUCAUGGAAUUGUGAAUCAUGUCAUUUUCUGGAUCAACAGAGGGUCACACUGACUACGCGGCCCUAUUUUUCCUGGCUUUCUGCACAGACAUUUAAAGUCAUUUUUAUUGAGGCGUGAUUUGGGGUGUCCUGAUAAGAAGAGGAGCUGAGGACACAGACAUGUCCAGCGGGACCUUGGGAGGACAUAGAGGGAAGACGCCUUCUGCAAACCACUGAGAGAGGCCUCGAGGAACCAGCCCUGGCCGACACCUUGAUAUGGGACUUCCAGCCUCCAGGACGAUGCGGUCUCUACCUGGCCUCCCCCAUGUUGACUGCUUUUGUACUGCACCCAUGGAGACAAAGAAAAGACAAAGAAGACGGAACCUCCAUGUUGAAUAUACCUGGUUCCAGGGCGAGGUUCAGCAAUUACAAUAGUGACAUCAGAGAUCGCUGAUAACAGAUCAUCAUCACAGAUGUGAUAACAAGAAAAAAAUGAGAUAUUUUUAUCAUUGAUGUGAUGGCAAAUAUUGAGUAUCAACUUGAUUGAAUUGAAGGAUGCAAGGUAUUAUUCCUGGGUGUGUCUGUGAGGGUGUUGCCAAAGGAGGUUAACAUUUGAGUUGGUGAACUGGGAAAGGCAGACCCACCCUCAGUCUGGGUGGGCACCAUCUAAUCAGCUGCCAGCAUGGCUAGGAUAAAAGCAGGCAGAGGAAGGUGGACGGACUAGACUUGUUAAGUCUUCUGGCCUCCAUCUUUCUCCUGUGCUGGAUGCUUCCUGCCCUCGAACAUUGGACUCCAAGUUCUUCAGCUUCUGGACUCUUGGACCUACACCAGUGGUUUGCAGGGGCUCUCGGGCCUUUGACCACAGACUGAAGGCUGCACUGUCGGCUUCCCUACUUCUGAGAUUUUGGAACUUGGACUGGCUUCCUUGCUCCUCAGCUUGCAGAAGGCCUAUUGUGGGCCUUCACCUUGUGAUCAUAUGAGUCAAUUCUCCUUAAUAAACUCCGUUUCAUAUAUACAUCUAUCCGAUCAGUCCUGUCCCUCUAGGGAACCCUGACUAAUACAAUUGUCAAAAUGUGACACAGAGGCACAAAGUGAGCACCUGCUGUAGGAAAAAUGGUGCUGAUAGACUUGACUCAGGGUUGCCACAAAAUUCAGUUUGUAAAAAACACAGUAUCUGCAUAAUGCAAUAAAAGAAGAUAGGCAUGCCAUAUUCUUCAUGAUUUUCAUGGGAAUAUAGUGUAUCUUUAGAGAGCACUGUCCAUUUAUAAUAAUCCUACACUUAAAUAAACAUUUUUCAUUACCCUUUCUAAAAAUAAUUUUAGUAGUUCAGUUUAAUUGCUAUUUUAUCUAUUGAAGGUUCAUUAAUUAAACUCAAUAAGUUACUUAAAAAAAAAUCCUUAUUGUUGAUAAUGCCUGAAAUUAAUGCACUCUGGAGUAUCUGUUUACAAGAUGAAACUGUCGUACUAAUUAUAACUAAAACAAACACUUUACCUCAAGCCUCUCACUUAGCCAAAAAGUGACCUAUUAUGGGAAAACACACAAACAAAGUGAUAGUUACUGAGCCCAAAACUUAAUAAAUGGAAGUGAAGAGUUCCGAAAAAGGGCUGUAUGUUACAAACGAUCUUUGAAAGCAACAGUGUUAGGAAUGCAAUUAUAACAUUUGCACAGUGACUCUUUUGUUAUUUAGUAUCUUACGUAUUUUUUCAUUUGAUCCAAACAAUUGCCCAGCUAGGAAGUUUUUCUGAGUAUGAUUCUCUUUUUUUUUUAAAUAUCAUGUAAACCAAGAUUCUAGGAAAAAAAAAAAGACUCAAAUCUAACAUCAUCAUUGUGAAAGAGGUAAGACUUGAAUUUGUAUUUCUUAUCACUUUUUUUUCAUAAAACUCUUUCUGUUCCCACAGGUGGCCUUUUCUAAUAACCAGUAUCACAACGGGCCUUCUUAAUGUGGGUUUUUAAAACCACAAACAAAAACCAUUAGCUUCAAACCUUUGAAGACUACUUAAAAAUAAAUGCGCAUAAUUCUAGGGGGAAUAGUCUCACCAAAUAAUCAUUUGCAAAGCCCUUUGUAAUUAAGUACAGGGGACAUUACUGGGAUGCAAUGUUCCGUAAAGAGCUCGACUGUUGUUCUUGCAAGAAUGCACCCAAACAAUGAUAAUAAGUGAAACAAUGAUUGAUAAAAUGAUAGCAAUGCUCAAUUUCCAAAUCAGAAUUUGCCUGCCAAUUGAUGUCGGAAAGAACAUCCUUUUCUGAGAACUGGCGUCCUCUUAGAAAGGUUUUUGAAGGGCAAAGGUCUGGUCUUCAUCAUAUCGCUCAGUUUUCUUUUUUCUUUCAUUAUAAGUAUCCUCGUAGGAUAAAUUUUAAUCUGAACCUAAACUAAUUCCCUGUCAAACAAACUAGAAAUGAAAACUUUUACAAAGGUACUAAAGGGCAACCCUUGGAACGAACUCUCUUUGGUUAUGCCUAGACUAGAAAAAAGCUAUUUUUAUUAGGUACAGAAGUAGACCUGAGUGUUGGACUCUGGAAUAGGCACCACCUUGCCCAGGCAGAGAGGAAAUGAGCAUGACUCUUCCUCAGUCAGUGAUAUUAACAAGCCGAAGGCAGCAGAAGACUGAUCAAGGCAGAAGGGUGACUGGUUUAUGAAAGAGCUGAACUAUUUAUUAGCCCACAUUAAUCUCACAUACAAAUAAAUAUAUGUGAAAAUUUAGAGUAAGAAACUUGAGGCCAGCUCCUAGAUGUGCAGUUUACAGAGCAAAGUUCCACUAAAAUUCUGCGUCACUCUCUGUGUGAGUCAUUUAUUUAAUUUUUAAACAAGCAUAAGGUGUCUUUGUGUUCACUCAAUGUAUCAGGCAUUGUUUUGAACACCUAAUCAAAGAAAGCAGAGAUGUGAUGUCUGCCCCCAUAGGAGGUUAUUGACCAGUUGCACUGACAGCUGAAAUAUCCACAAGCCUGAGACACGUCCUGGGCCACGGUCGUGGUAGGAACAGCAUGCUGUGGAAACAGGCGGGUGACACACCACGUCAAUCUGGACCUUUCUAAGGCUUCCUGGGGGAGGUGACACUCCGGAUGGGAUACAGAAGAUCAAACAGAGACUAUUUAAGAGUGUGAGAACAGAGACCAGGUAAGAACAUGGAGAGUAUGAGAAUGCCAAACGCAAGGUGAGGUAGGCCUGGUGCAAAUGUGCUAAGUCUUAAAAAGUUAGGGUGAACGCAGACUCCCAGGCCUCGAUGAAAGCCAAGAACUCAGAUCAUUCAUAUGAAUGCUAAUAAAAUAGGCAGGAGAGGUAAAGAGGAGGGUUCAGAAAAUAAACAUAUUCGCAUAUCAUCAACAACCUGAUCGAUCAAAAAUGACUAGGAAUGGUAUGUAUUCAAUUGCUGAGGCUGGGAAGGAUCAUGAAAUCUCAGACACGCUCAUGGAUUGUCAUUUUACAAAAGGGCUGAAUUGUGCAUUUAUAUGCUCAUAAUAAUAUAGUAAUAUAUAAUAUAAUAUAAAACUUGUAUAUAUAUGCUCAUAAAAAUGUGUAAUAUGUAUGCUCAUAAUAAUAUAGGUAAUAUUACAUAUUACAUAUUACCUAUAUUAUUACCUAUACCUGUGUAAUAAUUGUAUAAUUAUCACAUGCAUGCUCAUAAUGUCAUAUAUAUGCUUAUAAUAAUAUAGGUAAUAUAUAAUAUAAUAUAAUACCUGUGUAAUAAUUUAUAAUUAUCAUAUGUAUUUUCAUAAUAAUAUGUCAUAUAUAUGUUCAUAAUAAUGUAGGUAACAUAAUAUUAUAAUACCUGUGUAAUAAUUGUAUAAUUAUUAUAUGUAUGCUUAUAGUAAUAUGUCAUAUAUAUGCUCAUAAUAAUAUAAGUAAUAGAUAUUAUAAUACCUGUGUAAUUGUAUAAUUAUCAUAUGUAUGCUCAUAAUAAUAUGCCAUAUAUAUGCUCAUAAUAAUAUAGGUAAUAUAUAAAAUUAUAGUAUAUGCGUGUGUAAUAAUUCUAUAAUUAUUAUAUGUGUGCUCAUAAUAAUAUAUAAUAUAUGCUCAUAAUAAUAUAGGUAAUAAACACUAUUAUAAUACACUGUUAUAAUACAGUUGUGCAAACAUUGUAUAAUAAGUAAUCAUAUAUAUGUUAAUAAUAAUCUCCAAAAGUAAAUAUGAUAAUUUCCCCAUCUUACAUAGAAUUGGAAACUAAGUCAAGAGCAGUUAAAAGACCUGCUCGAUGUCACAAGGCAAGUCGCAGGGGCCCGGGGUUUGUACACAGGCAGUGUUUCUCCAGCGUCUGUGCACGUACUCACCAUAUCCCUCCUUCUUUCCGUGUGGAUGCAUGCUGCUUUUGAGCGAGAGUUUGGCAUUUUUCAUAAGAGUCAAAGAAAAGCACCUGAGAUGCGUCAGGGCCCACCGCCGGCGCUGAGGAUGGAACAGUGAACACAGCAAGCCACGUCCUUCCUCCUAGGGCCCAUAUUCUGAUGGAAGGAGUCAGACGAAAGGCAGAGAAAUGCAAUAGAAAAUCGAAUACUGCAUGUGAUGAUUGAUAAGUGAAAUCUAAACAUUGGGUACUCGUGGACACGAAGAGGGGAACAACAGACGCUGUGGACAACUAGAGCGUACGGGUGGAAAAGUCUCAAGCCACCAGCUCAGCAGCUGCAUCUUCAAGGAGGCAUCUGGCAGGGAGGCUGCAGCUGGAGCACUGAUUGGCGACAUUCAUCACAGCUCACUGUCGUGCUCUGGGAUCUGGCUGGUCUUUAAAGGAUACAUCUGCUGAGGUAAAUGGAGAUAUAGUGAGGACCACCCCACCACAGCUCUUAGGUCCUUCAUAGUGGCAGUAAUUUUUGCCUUUCCCCCUCUGGGAUGUAGUACCAUUUUUGAUGCAUUGUUUAGACAAGGGGAAGAAAGUUUUUGAGGCUUUCACUUCAUCUUAAGUACAAUAAUCAUCACUCCACAAGUCAAGGAACAAAUAUGGAGGUUUCUUCAACAACCAGAGAUAUUUGAGGGCAGUGGAAAUAACCAUAAGGUGGAGGUGGCCAGUGGGAACCAUGUUGAGCCAGGCUUGCAUCAGAACUCCAUUUAUCACCUGACCUCACCUCGCGCCUACUCUAUGAGGAGGCUUUAAUGUCACCUUAGCUCUUAAGGUACCAAUGACAACAAGAACUUUGCAUCAGACAGGCCUCAAAAUGCAUUUUUCCCCAGUGUGCAGUCUCCCAAGUAAAGAUACUGGAAGGACUGGAGAAUCUUUACGCUGGACGCCUUCCUUGGAACCGCAAGAACUUCAGCUCUCCUUCAAGCAGUGGGGCCUGCGUCUGAAAACUGGAUCCACUUGAAGCACACAAAGAGUCUUGACUUUUUAGUUUUUUUUUUUUUUUUUUGCGGUGCCUGCCCUCUGCCUCCUGACCACCCCUGCGGUAUUUAUUCCUAUUGAGCAGACUGGGAAGUGACGCUAGGUGCGUGUGAGCAGAGAUACUGUAUUUUAUGAACAAUCUUCAUAACUCCCUGUGGGUCAAUCCCAUAACUCCCUGGCUGCCACUCCAGCCUUUCCAGCCAUUAUGACAAUUCACCCCACCUGGCUUGUGACAGUUAAGCAUUACCAUGUGGCCUCUACUUUUCGAGGUUCGAGUAUCCCUAUUGAUCCUCAUAAGCCAGGUCUUGAAACUGAACCACCCACCAUCAGUCCUGGCCUGCAGAAAGGAGCAAGAUCAGAGCCUCCCAGGAUGUGAGGACCACGCCCCCGGCAUGCUGUUUAUUGUGUUGCUGUGCCCAUUGCCAGCCAGUCAGCCUGGUGCAGGCUGAUUAAAACUCUUAGGCAGUUGCCUCAAAGAGACAUUAAGCCUUGCUUGAAUUAAAUGCUGACACACAUUAGACACUAGAACUUUCAUAUGGUUCCAUGUCAUUGUGAAAUUGAUGGAGUUUCUCUGUUUGUUUCUUUAAUUUUAAUUUUUCUAAAGCACAAGAUUGAAAUAAGCCUCGCUAUUAGGUAGUUGAGAGAUAAGCUUGGUAUUCACUGUGGGAAAUCUUUAUGACAGACGUUAUUGUUUGGGGUAUGUAUUAAGAGAAAUGGUUAAACUGUGAAGGCCUCUAAGCUAAACUCUGGCUUUUGGAUCAUAAAACCUCUUCCAUUUACACAAAUAAAUUACAUUAUGUUACUUUCUCCUGUUUUAUAGCUGAAAAUACCAAGUGUUUUGGUAGACAAAUGACAAGCUAUCAGCCUGUCCCUAUUGCAAGUUGCAGACAGAUGUUUGAUAACCACAGUUAUCACAGAUGGAAGGGGCUGUGUCGAGACACCUUCUCCUGGGGGGCUAUUAGUCUCUGAUCUGUGAUAUGCUGUGGGGGAAGAGAGAAGAAAAUAGGAAGCACCAGCAUUACAGCCAUUUAUCACCCACCACUGUGUGUGGAAUAAAUGGAUCCUCUUUCAAGAUAGUCUAUUAUCUGCCGCUUGCCGGCUUCAUGCUGUCAUAUGUUUUUUUCAGUAGUCAAUAAAUUGCUGAAGGCCACAUUUGGAGAGUAAGUACCGCUGUAUGUCUAACUUUAUAUAUUGUUCUUUUAUUUACUGCAGCAUUUACCCAUUUUCUGGAGAGUCUACUAUAUACAUGGAGGUUUUAUUUUUUUUAUACUUACCAGAUCAUUUUAUGGAUGAUAGUUUACCAAAUUUAUUUUUAUAAUAAAUAAACCAACAAAACAUAGCUUUAGAAAAAAUCUUGUCCCUGCCUCAAAGUAUUUAAACACGCCCACACUUCAGCUUCUCAGAAAGAAACCUGCCCACUCCUUCAUUUAAUCUUGUCUUUCUUUCAAUCUGUGCUUUCUUCAACCAGUGUGCACACCACAUAUGGGACCCUAUAAACCAUGUAUUAAUUGGUGCAGAACACCACUUUCCUUUAACAUUAAAGGUGAAUAACUAGGAAUUAUUUCCUAAUCUCUAUUUUAUAAAUGCAGGGGAAAAGAGGCAAGGUUGAGAUUCAUUCCAGAGUGUUUACAGGUAAGGAAUUUUCAACAACCUUUGUUCUGCCCAGCCAGGCAUUCACCCACUAAUUUAUUAGGGACAAGAUCAAUAGCCUCAACGAGAUUGUAGUGCUUAAC
Molecule: long non-coding RNA, 7774 nt
Filed under: Homo sapiens (human)
Lineage: Eukaryota; Metazoa; Chordata; Mammalia; Primates; Hominidae
Description: HSALNT0157466
Source: RNAcentral